AAGGUGGAUUUGUAAGUAAUUAUUUUUUAUAAUAUUAUUAAAUGAAUAGUGGAAUAACAUGUGUACAUAUUGCCCGUCGCUCUCGUUAUUUUUGAGAUAAGUCGUAACAUAGUUGAUGAACUGGAAAGUGUAUCUUUUUGACAUAUUAAAGUUUAUUUUUGAAUUUUUCCUUUACACUGAAAAGGUCUCUUUUGAGUAAUAUGAUAAUUAUUUUUUAGGAUUUUAUUUUGGUAAUCAGAAAGUUUAUUAUAAGUAGUUUGAGCGAAUUUAGUGGAUUAUUCUUAUAGAGGAUUAAGUACUGAGAAGGAACAUUUUAUUAUUUUUUUAUAAUAUUAGGUUAAUUAGUACCUUUUGUAUUAGGGUUGAUCUAUUUGGAUUUACGUUAGUUAUUUCUCGAUGAACAUCGGGCUAUUUUUCUUUUAAAGUUCUCGUUGUAUAGAGUCGAAUAGGGAUUAAUAGGUAUGAAAUAUUAUUCAAGUUGUUUUUUAUCUGGUUCUUUAAGAAAUUUAAUAGUUAGUAUGAUUAUUAGGGCGGUGAAUAGGGAUUAGCUUAUUUAUUUUUUAUAUUUAUUUAUUUAUUGUUGUUUAUUUGUUAAGUUGAUAGUGCUGUAUUUUAAUGGAGUUAUUAUUAGGUAAAUUUAUUAUAUUAUUUUUUGGUUUUGUUUUGUUAUUGGGGUUAUAUUGUGAAUUUAUAAUGAUUUGUGAUAAUGAUUAUAUUAGUAAUAUUAGUAUUAAAAAUUUCAUUUUGAUGUUUUUAGGAAAAAGGGCUGAUUAGGGGUGAUAUUUUAAUUAGAAUUGAUGAAUUCGGCAAAAUAGAUUUCUGACUGUUUAGCAAAGACAUUGUUUUUUGUUUUGAAUAGAAAAUAAGUUCUGUCCACUGCUAUUAGGUGAAGGGCUGCAGUAUUUUGACUGUAUGAAGGUAGCAUAAUCAUUAGCUUUUUAAUUAGAAGCUGGUAUGAAGGUGAAUCAGGGAUUUGCUGUGUUUUUUAUAUUUUUGAAUUUUAUUUUUAUGUGAAAAAUCGUUAUUGGGUUAAUGGGACAAGAAGUCCCUAAUAAGUUUUAUUUUCUUUUUUAAUGCGUGUAUAGGUUAGAGGAUUAAUGCAAUUUAUUUGAGUGGGUUUGGCUGGGGCGGUAUUUUAUUUAACAUAGAUUAAUUUUUAACUUUUUAUGGCGAAAUUUAGACCUAGUUUGUUUAGAUGAGUGUUAAACUACUGUAGGGAUAACAGCGUAAUUUUUUUUGAGAGUUCUAAUUGACA
This 1255-nucleotide ribosomal RNA is filed under the name Cherokia georgiana. Its description in RNAcentral is "partial large subunit ribosomal RNA". The record is from RNAcentral. Lineage: Eukaryota; Metazoa; Arthropoda; Diplopoda; Polydesmida; Xystodesmidae.